RNAcentral lists this transfer RNA (77 nucleotides) under Aneurinibacillus aneurinilyticus. RNAcentral's name for it is "tRNA-Arg". It matches the Rfam family "tRNA". Rfam says of the family: Transfer RNA (tRNA) molecules are approximately 80 nucleotides in length. Lineage: Bacteria; Bacillati; Bacillota; Bacilli; Caryophanales; Paenibacillaceae. RNAcentral also lists the same sequence under 11 other names. The record is from RNAcentral.
GUGCCCGUAGCUCAAUCGGAUAGAGUGUCUGACUACGAAUCAGAAGGUUGGGAGUUCGAGUCUCUCCGGGCACGCCA